RNAcentral lists this ribosomal RNA (230 nucleotides) under uncultured bacterium. RNAcentral describes it as "partial 16S ribosomal RNA". It matches the Rfam family "Bacterial small subunit ribosomal RNA", at positions 100 to 334 of the family's 1533-position model. The record is from RNAcentral.
GGACGGGUGAGUAAUGUCUGGGGAACUGCCCGAUGGAGGGGGAUAACUACUGGAAACGGUAGCUAAUACCGCAUAACGUCGCAAGACCAAAGAGGGGGACCUUGGGCCUCUUGCCAUCGGAUGUGCCCAGAUGGGAUUAGCUAGUAGGUGGGGUAACGGCUCACCUAGGCGACGAUCCCUAGCUGGUCUGAGAGGAUGACCAGCCACACUGGAACUGAGACACGGUCCAG